CCUCGGAUCAGUAUGUCCCCGUCAUU
Molecule: ribosomal RNA, 26 nt
Filed under: Penicillium janthinellum
Lineage: Eukaryota; Fungi; Ascomycota; Eurotiomycetes; Eurotiales; Aspergillaceae
Description: partial 28S ribosomal RNA
Source: RNAcentral